AAUCUUAUUCAGACACAGACUUUGGCCAGGUCCCUGUAGAAGUCAUAGGAGAGUUGGGGUUUCAAGACAAAACAAUAAGAACAACAACAAAAAUAAUAAAACCAACAAUCUUCAGUCCUUUUUGCUUAGUGGGGGUGGAAAGGCCACUGUAGAGAACUUCUUUAAUCCAAGGACACCCACACCAAUAAAAGCAGACGGCAAGGGAACCAGGACAAGCAUGGCUGUGAAGGGACUAGAAACAGAUCUGGCAGGUGGAUAUGCAAUCAUUCCUAUGUGAUGAAGCUCCAGUAAAAUCUCUGGACACCAGCACAGGAUGGGAUGUCCUUUUGCAGAGGAAGCCCAGGUUGGACUUGAACUUCUGGGCUCAAGUUGCCCAUGCUGGACUUGAACUCCUGGGCUCAAGUGGUCCUCUGGCCUCAGCCUCCCAUGUAGCUGAGUCUACUGAUGUAUACCAUCACACCUGGCUUUUUCUUUUCAUUGGAAAAUUUAGUCCAUUUACAUUUAAAGUAAUUGUAAUAGUACCCCUUCUAUUACGAGGGAGGAAAAUAAAACUCAGAUUUCAGGAAUCAAUCAAGGUCAUGUAGCAACCUGGUGGUCAGCCAGAGCUAGAAAUUAUCAAAUAUGAUGAUCCAGCCGGUGUGGUGUAUUCUGAUAUGAGGAGAAUUUCUCUUUUGGUCUUGGACAUAUUCCUUAGACUGACAUGUCACUGGGCCAAUAUUUGAGUGAAUCUCCUGUUUCUGGAAUUAUCAAGAAGACUACAGAAAAUUAUAGGAGUGACUCCGAAAUGCUAUGGAAGAGAUUCCUGCAUUGUCAUGCAUAAAGGCAGUCAGGAGUCCAGAUGAAUCCAUGGCACUGGAACUGAAACCACAGUCCACACCUCUUACAGCACUUCACUACCAUUAGCAAGAGUAAAGGGGCAGCCACAAAAACUGAAGAAAAGAGUGAAGAGGGAGGCUUUGCAACCCUGUCCAACAAAUAUGAGACCUGAAACUGGGGCAGCCAUUGCGAGACCCUGAUGACAGCCAGCCCAAUGGCAAUGCAGACACACACAGCAUGGUGGCAUGAGAUCAUGUCCUAAGAAAUGAGAGAAUUUGAUGUCAUCGUGUGCUGCAGUCAGCCAGCCUUGGAACUCACCAUACCUCUGGACUGCUUGAUAGGGUUCCAGUUCACCUUCCAAUCACCAUUAGACGAAGUUACUCAUUUUUCCAAAAGCAGAGAACAAGAUUGCAGAAGACAACUUGACGUUCCAUUUUAGGAACCAAUAACCCUCAUAUUUGGAAAUUUCAUUACUACACUUUCAGAGGUAUGUUUUACAUUCAGAGUCGGAAACCCCAACAUGCUAUGCAGUUUGAACUUAGCAGGUUCUUCUCAAGCUUGUCUUGCAUGUUCUAAGCUUAGAAAAAUAUUUUACUUUUACUGUUUCCCAAAUUAUAUUGACUGGGAAAAGUUAC
This 1451-nucleotide long non-coding RNA is filed under the name Homo sapiens (human). RNAcentral describes it as "HSALNT0251317". The record is from RNAcentral. Lineage: Eukaryota; Metazoa; Chordata; Mammalia; Primates; Hominidae.